CCCCAAGGUCCCCCCUCUUCCCCACCAGAGCAGCCUUAUUGCCUAAGUCACCCGCAUGCCAGGAAAUCACGAGGAUAUCCAAACACAUUAAGGCACAAAUGUGAAUACAACGCAAGAGACUCCAAGUUCAGAAACAGUCAAACUGAGGGGGCGCAGCAAAGGCAAUGGCACCAAGGGAAGUUUUGGAAAGCUCCAGAAGGUGCCUCAGUCAAUCGGGUUUACUGCGGUUUACUCUUCCUUCGACAGAUUGAGUUGAAUGGUGUAUUCAGUGUCUGCAACAAAUUACCACAACGUGGGUGCCCUCAAGGAACAGACACGUUCCGUGUCAUGGUUCUGGAGGCCUGAAGUCCGAGAUCAAGGUGGCGCUGUGGGUUCCCUGUGAGGCACGGAAAGUUCUCCUGGUUGCCAGCGCUCCCUGGUGGUUCUUGGCUUGUAGAGGCAUCCCAGGGAUCUCUGUCCCCAUCAUCACAAAGCCUUCUCCCUGGUCGUUUGGUCCAAGUUCCCCUCGUAUAAGGACACCAGUCAUUGGCUCAGGGCCACGAGUCCAGUAUGACUUCAUCUUAACCUGACUGCGUCCACAAAGACCUUCCUUCCAAAUUAGGUCACGCUGGCAGGUUCCAGGGAUAGGGCUUGUACAUUUCAGGUAAGCUUUUUGUUGGAUGCAAUCAACCUAUAACAGAUGGGUAGUUCCAUCCCCCCCCACCCCAUAUAUGAGUUUAAAGAAACAUUUCCUUUUAAGUAGAGCUCAUCUGGGUCCCCCACAUUUUAGUGUGCAGUAACUGCAGGACAAAUCACUUCUAGGUAUUUCCAGUAGCUCUCAUUUUCUACCAUGUUCUUAUCUUGAGCUGUAACAAAGAACUUAAGGUAAAACUGAUCAAAAAUGUCAAAGAACGACAUUACAUUCUAGCACAACGAAUGCUCUAUUAACAUAAGCGUUAGCACAAAGGCACCUCAUUCCAUCAUGAAAUAUACCAGCUGCUCAAAAUCCAUGGGAAGUGGGUAAAUCCACACUGUUGCAGGUUUUAACACCUGUUGCUCAGACACUAAGAAAUCAAUUGCAAACUAAACAG
RNAcentral lists this long non-coding RNA (1070 nucleotides) under Ursus maritimus (polar bear). Its description in RNAcentral is "lncRNA (ENSUMAG00000000712.1)". The record is from RNAcentral. Lineage: Eukaryota; Metazoa; Chordata; Mammalia; Carnivora; Ursidae.